Molecule: ribosomal RNA, 253 nt
Filed under: uncultured bacterium
Lineage: Bacteria
Description: partial 16S ribosomal RNA
Rfam family: Bacterial small subunit ribosomal RNA
Source: RNAcentral
UACGGAGGGGGCUAGCGUUGUUCGGAAUCACUGGGCGUAAGGGGCGCGUAGGCGGCUUUAUAAGUCGGGGGUGAAAGCCUGUGGCUCAACCACAGAAUUGCCUUCGAUACUGUAUGGCUAGAGACCGGAAGAGGUAAGUGGAACUGCGAGUGUAGAGGUGAAAUUCGUAGAUAUUCGCAAGAACACCAGUGGCGAAGGCGGCUUACUGGUCCGGUUCUGACGCUGAGGCGCGAAAGCGCGGGGAGCAAACAGG